UACAGAUCGUGUGAAUCAUCGAAUCUUUGAACGCAAGUUGCGCUCUCAUUUGCGUGGGAGCAUGCCUCUUUCAGUAUCUGUUCCACUCUCACUCGCAGUGCGCUGCGGAGAAUGAGGCUUGUGUUGGUAUCCGCUUGCGGACGCCAACAGCCUUGAAGUGUCCAGUGGAGCUUGUUCUGUUUUGCACCUAGUGCGAAGCAGCCUCUUCACUGAGAAAGCGACGUGGGUAAUCUACCUUGAACGUCUUGCUUUCGUUUGCAGGUGAGCAGGUCCCUUUAUGGGACGAUAAGCGUAGGGUGCGGUCAUUUUCUCCUAACAGAGAAAGUGUCACCGCACCAAACCAAACAAACCAUAUAGAUCUGAAAUGAGGUAAGAGGACCCGCUGAAUUUAAGCAUAUCAAUAAGCGGAGG
This 411-nucleotide ribosomal RNA is filed under the name uncultured Plasmodiophoridae. Its description in RNAcentral is "eukaryotic LSU rRNA". The stretch from base 1 to 79 matches the Rfam family "5.8S ribosomal RNA", at positions 73 to 154 of the family's 154-position model. Lineage: Eukaryota; Endomyxa; Phytomyxea; Plasmodiophorida. The record is from RNAcentral.